RNAcentral lists this ribosomal RNA (466 nucleotides) under uncultured bacterium. Its description in RNAcentral is "bacterial SSU rRNA". It matches the Rfam family "Bacterial small subunit ribosomal RNA", at positions 28 to 494 of the family's 1533-position model. The record is from RNAcentral.
GAUGAACGCUGGCGGCGUGCUUAACACAUGCAAGUCGAGCGAAGCACUUAGGAAAGAUUCUUCGGAUGAUUUCCUAUUUGACUGAGCGGCGGACGGGUGAGUAACGCGUGGGUAACCUGCCUCAUACAGGGGGAUAACAGUUAGAAAUGACUGCUAAUACCGCAUAAGACCACAGCACCGCAUGGUGCAGGGGUAAAAACUCCGGUGGUAUGAGAUGGACCCGCGUCUGAUUAGUUAGUUGGUGGGGUAACGGCCUACCAAGGCGACGAUCAGUAGCCGACCUGAGAGGGUGACCGGCCACAUUGGGACUGAGACACGGCCCAAACUCCUACGGGAGGCAGCAGUGGGGAAUAUUGCACAAUGGGGGAAACCCUGAUGCAGCGACGCCGCGUGAGCGAAGAAGUAUUUCGGUAUGUAAAGUUCUAUCAGCAGGGAAGAAAAUGACGGUACCUGACUAAGAAGCCCC